GACGAACGCUGGCGGCGUGCUUAACACAUGCAAGUCGAACGGAAAGGCCCUGCUUGUGUGGGGUGCUCGAGUGGCGAACGGGUGAGUAACACGUGAGUAACCUGCCCUGGACUUUGGGAUAACCUCAGGAAACUGGGGCUAAUACCGGAUAGGAGCUCCUGCUGCAGGGGGGGGGUUGGAAAGUUUCGGCGGUUGGGGAUGGACUCGCGGCUUAUCAGCUGGUUGGUGGGGUAGUGGCUUACCAAGGCUUUGACGGGUAGCCGGCCUGAGAGGGUGGCCGGCCACCUUGGGACUGCGGUACGGCCCAGACUCCUACGGGAGGCAGCAGUGGGGAAUAUUGCACAAUGGGCGGGAGCCUGAUGAAGCAGCGCCGCGUGCGGGAUGACGGCCUUCGGGUUGUAAACCGCUUUCGCCUGUGACGAAGCGUGAGUGACGGUACUGGGUAAAGAAGCACCGGCUAACUACGUG
Molecule: ribosomal RNA, 468 nt
Filed under: uncultured bacterium
Lineage: Bacteria
Description: partial 16S ribosomal RNA
Rfam family: Bacterial small subunit ribosomal RNA
Source: RNAcentral